Molecule: long non-coding RNA, 576 nt
Filed under: Phoenix dactylifera (date palm)
Lineage: Eukaryota; Viridiplantae; Streptophyta; Magnoliopsida; Arecales; Arecaceae
Description: long non-coding RNA (PDAC_LNC021405)
Source: RNAcentral
UCAUUUUUCUGCAAGUUUCAUGUGUGAAAUUCUUUUUUCAAUAUAAGUCAUGAGAUAAUGGAAGCUAAAUUUUGAAAUGUUCUUCAAAAUUCUUUCUUUUUUUUUAUUAAAAAAAAAGUCUGUAAUGUUCUAUUCCCUUAAGUCUGUAAUAUGCUAUUCCCUUAAGUUACUAUUGGUUAUGCAAAUGUAACGUGCUUCUUGGUUGCAGAUGACAGAUAAUAAAGGUUUGAGAAGAGCAUCAUCUGACAAACCUUGGAUUUCAUCACCAGAUUUGUUUCAAUUGUUUCAUGAUGCUUGGGGAUUUUAGGUUUGUCACAAGUAUUACCGUUUAUAGGAAUUCUUGUACAAUAAAAUGCCACUUAAAACUAAGCCAAAGUUAGCUGAUGCUUGGUAUAAGCUUCUGUCACUUCUUGCUACUAAUAUUAUGGUACAUCACUUAGAUGCUCGGAUAUAAAGGAAAGCAUAAAUUAAGAACCAAGAAAAUUGUGCUCUGCAUUUGUCCAUGCGCCCUCUGUAUUUCAGACCUUCUAUUCUAUUUGUAAUUGGAAAAAAAACGUUCAUCAGCCAAAUGUUUAA